This 253-nucleotide ribosomal RNA is filed under the name uncultured bacterium. Its description in RNAcentral is "partial 16S ribosomal RNA". It matches the Rfam family "Bacterial small subunit ribosomal RNA", at positions 524 to 776 of the family's 1533-position model. The record is from RNAcentral.
UACGGGGGGUGCAAGCGUUGUUCGGAAUUACUGGGCGUAAAGGGUUUGUAGGUGGCUUGCUCAGUCAGACGUGAAAUCCCUCAGCUUAACUGGGGAACUGCGUCUGAUACUAUCGAGCUUGAGUGCAGGAGAGGAACGCGGAAUUCCAGGUGUAGCGGUGAAAUGCGUAGAUAUCUGGAGGAACACCGGUGGCGAAGGCGGCGUUCUGGACUGCAACUGACACUGAAAAACGAAAGCCAGGGGAGCAAACGGG